Long non-coding RNA from Diospyros lotus (date-plum), 487 nucleotides. RefSeq lists it as uncharacterized. The transcript is spliced from 3 exons. The record is from RefSeq and is a predicted model, not a curated record. Lineage: Eukaryota; Viridiplantae; Streptophyta; Magnoliopsida; Ericales; Ebenaceae.
CCCUAAGCCAACCCGAUCUGCUGUUCGUCGGGGACAACCGGAUCGAGCUGAUGCAGCUGGCCGAAGAUCGUCGUUCCCUCGCCAAAGAUCAAGCCCGCCGUCCAAUCCCCAAGUCGCCGUCUCAUAAAGCAAAGACUGGAGAGAUCGGGUGAUUUUGAUGCGCCCCAGCUGAGAGGCGUUUGAGGGAAUCCCACAUCUUCUAUAACACAAUGAGUGGGUAAAUUGUAUUAUGGUGGUGGGCAUCAUUUUUUAUGGUGGAAUCGUGGUAAACGAUUCUACUCCAUUUACCCUAGUCACGCUCCAGCUACAACACAUACAUCUCAUUUCACUAGUUUGAGAAUAGGGAGGUUUAAAUGUUUCCUUCGUAUAUGAAUUGGUAAAUUUUGAAUACUGUAAGUAUAUAAUGAAUUUAUAGCCCAAUGGGCACUUCAAUAUCAAUUAAAGGCAAUGGAAUUACUUUGUAAUGUAUAUGAGAUGUUUAAAUGGU